Molecule: transfer RNA, 86 nt
Organism: Strongyloides venezuelensis
Lineage: Eukaryota; Metazoa; Nematoda; Chromadorea; Rhabditida; Strongyloididae
Rfam family: Selenocysteine transfer RNA
Source: Rfam
GCCGGAAUGAACUUCGAUGGUUCGGAGUGCAGGCUUCAAACCUGUAGACGCUUGACGGCGUAAUGGUUCGAUUCCAUCUUUCCGGU